Molecule: long non-coding RNA, 2058 nt
Filed under: Canis lupus familiaris (dog)
Lineage: Eukaryota; Metazoa; Chordata; Mammalia; Carnivora; Canidae
Description: lncRNA (ENSCAFG00845022966.1)
Source: RNAcentral
ACAGUAGCCAGUGGUAUGCUGGAGUGGAUUUGUACCAGUUCAUGAACCAAUUAUUAAAUGUCCAGGAAUUUUGUGAGCCAGUUGAUUUCACAUUGGUAGUUUGAAAUCAGCUACAGUGUGGGUAUUUAUACCACAGAUAGAUCUGCAAAUGCUGAAAAUCAACCUUUUCUUUUUUUCUUAGAGACCCAGUUGUUCAUAGGCCACCAGCAAGUUUUGGACAUCACAUUUAAAAGAAUUCAUACUUAAUUCUCCUCCCCCUCACUUGGAGAGCACUAAGGCUUGGGGAACUCAAGAACUUUCCAUCAGGUCCAGACUGGAAGACGUCAGGCCAGGGCCAAGACUCAACUUGCUUCCCUUGGGCCCCUGGCGCCUUGUGAAGGUUCUUGGACCUUUCAUAUGCUGCUGUGACUGUGGUUUCCGGCUUCCUGAGUUCUCAUACUCAGCUGAGUGCUGCAGAUAUCAUACCCUAGUUCCUACUUUGGAGACUGACAUGCUCAAGCUUGGUAAUAUUCUGAAUAUAUGGGGUCUGUGAGUGUGAGUCACAGCUUUUUUCUUUCUUUUUUUUUUUUUUAAAGAUUGUAUUUAUUUGAGGGAAAUAAAGAGGGAAAGCGAGCACAAGCAGGGGGGGUGGCAGGCAGAGGGAGAGAGAGGAGUCCCCUUGCUGAACAAAGAGCCCAAUGUGGGGCUUGAUCCUAGGACCCUGGGAUCAUGACCGGAGCCAAAGGCAGCAGAUGCUUAACUGACUGAGCCACCCAGGCACCCAGGGUUGCUUUUCUGUUUCAGUUUUCCCCUUUUCCCUAGACAGACUCAUUGUAAAUACCUUGGGGUUGCAUAAGGACAGAGUGUAAAGGUUUGUUGGCUAGAGGCUGAGAAAGAUCAGUUUUCUAAUUGAAUAUCCUAUCUCAUGUUAGGGCAUUAGUUCUGCUUCUCUUUAGGCAGGGACAUUUUGAAUACUCUAGAUGAUGAUGAAUCUAGUAAGAAAGUAAUCAGAAAAUAAUUUUAUAGAACUUUGCAGUUAAUAAUAGAUUUCCUCAUACACUAUUUAACUUAAAUAUGACAAUUUAAGAAGAAAAGUGAUGCGUAGGGAGUUAAAAGACUUUCCAUGCAGCUACUGAAUGCCUUUCAUGUGUAUGCGGGGUUUCUUUGUGGAGCUGUCAUUUUACAGGCUGGGACCAGAGUUCUGAAUUGGUUGGAUACUUAGCAGGAGAGAUUCUACUCUGUGGAACUGAGGCUGCUUUACAUUCAUUGUUUCAUUUAUUCUACUAAUUGCAACUAUUAGUUGAAUGCCCAUCUUGUAUGAAGAAAGGCUCUACCUAUGAUAUAAUUGGGAGGUUGAGACCCACUACUAGUGAGACACUGGAGAGGAUCUUAAGGCCCAAAGAUGGAUGCUGCUAAGGAGGCAGUGGUAAAACUAGGGCUUUAGAUGAGAAUUUUGCAAACUGGAGUUCUGUGACUAGCAGCCAGUGAAGAUCCAGUUUAGAAGCUGGCAAGCCAGGUUUCUGCAGGAAUCAGAAAGAGCUUAACUCCCAAGGUACUUUAUUCAUAUCUGCAUCAAAUUAUUUUGGUUGGCCAGCAUCAGCUCUCCCCUCUUUCCCAAUUUUCCCAAUGGGGGAAUAUCCAUAGGGGCAGAUUGCUCCUCUCUUCUUUCCCUGGCAGCUUGGACUAAUCCAUGUGACCUGAGAUUGACCAAUCAACAGUGGCUCUGGGCCAAGAUUUUUUGCCUCUGAAACGAGUGACUCAAAGACAAAAAGAUGUUAGGAUUGAAUCCCAGCUGUGGUGUGUGGUGCUGUUGGCAGCAGCAGCUGCUUCUUGGUGAAGCUGCUUUUCUGUCUGCUUGUUUUCCAAGCUUACCCUCCUGUCUAUGCUCUAGGCCCCUAAUAUCCUUGUAAUAUAUUUCUCUUUUGCUUGUAUUGGCAACACUGUCAGUGCUUGUAUUUGCAACAGACAAAAAGAACCUUAACUUACAAAUUGCAAUGAUCUCUUUACUGGGCUCUGAGAUCCUUGAGAGCAGGGCCUACACUUCAUUCUGCCCUGUGUCCCUUUUUUUUUUUUUUUUUU